UGCUCCCUGGAGUGUGCGAUAGCUGGCAAUGUCCCUGUGCCGAUAUCUUUGACCUUAGGGUUACUGUUUUUACUGACAUUGAGCAUGCUCGGCGCGAACCGAGAAGCCUUAGGAUGUAAUCAGUGACCCGACCUUGAACUUCUGGUUCAAGGGCUUACGCCGGUUAACGGCACUUUGGGGAGCAU
Non-coding RNA from Shewanella sp., 185 nucleotides. It matches the Rfam family "6S / SsrS RNA". Rfam says of the family: E. coli 6S RNA was the first non coding RNA to be sequenced, but its function was unknown until recently. The record is from Rfam. Lineage: Bacteria; Pseudomonadati; Pseudomonadota; Gammaproteobacteria; Alteromonadales; Shewanellaceae.